CGAACAUAAUUGUUCUAGGCAGAUCUUUGAUACAUACUUGUGUUUUGAGAUGUAAGCGGCGGCGGCGGCAUCGCUUACUUUUUUGGACGGUCACUGGUACUUUUCAAGGAUUAGCAGGAACGGGAUGGCGGCCAAGACCAGCAAUUGUAAUUACACCUAUGUCUCUUUUUCAUUCGACCACCCAACCUACCGACAGGCGUCUUAUUCAUGCAUGUUAUUCGGUGUAGGAAGGGGCAGGGGGUGAGUGAAAAAGUACGACGUCUAGGUUGACCUCAUUCGUUCGCAUCAAUUGGCUCGCGGCGGUCGUCUUAUUCUCUGGACGCCGUCCGUCUCAGCGCAACGCCUAUUAAAUGUUGAUUCUGCUCAACCAGUUU
Non-coding RNA from Caenorhabditis elegans, 374 nucleotides. Lineage: Eukaryota; Metazoa; Nematoda; Chromadorea; Rhabditida; Rhabditidae. The record is from Ensembl.